UUGCCAUAUCUCGAUCUUUUCAUCUCA
This 27-nucleotide small nuclear RNA is filed under the name Arabidopsis thaliana (thale cress). Its description in RNAcentral is "snRNA_00109". The record is from RNAcentral. Lineage: Eukaryota; Viridiplantae; Streptophyta; Magnoliopsida; Brassicales; Brassicaceae.